Perognathus longimembris pacificus (Pacific pocket mouse) is the source of this 1739-nucleotide RNA transcript. It is a transcript of the gene named proline rich transmembrane protein 2, with no coding region annotated. The transcript has 3 exons. The record is from RefSeq and is a predicted model, not a curated record. Lineage: Eukaryota; Metazoa; Chordata; Mammalia; Rodentia; Heteromyidae.
CGCGCCGCGGUGGUGCGUGUCCCUGGGAGGGGAGCCGGGGACGUCCCGGGGCGGCGGGGAGCAAGGCAGCGGUGCUAAGCCCGCAUUUCGGGGUGCCCCGGGAGGUGGAGAGGGGCCCGGGGUGCGGAAGGUGUCAGCCCCCUGCCCAGGCUGCCUGUCCCGGGGUGUGCACAGCUGGUUGUUUUGAGGGUGUCGGGGAGCCUGCUGUGAGAUCUGAGAGUGGAUCUUGGGUGUUUUGGGGGGACCCAGGAAGGUACCCCCUGGGGAAGAUUCUGUGUAUAAAAGGGUUUCUCUUCCCAAGGUUUUCCACGCAGGAGACAGUGGAGUACAUCUCCCCCAGGGAUGUCCCACCCCUAGGCAAAGGAAACCCCAACUUUUCUUCUGCUCCCUAGAGACAGCACAAGACUGGCUCUAAGACAGAAGGCAGGUCCUCUUGGGUCUGCAGGAAAGGGAGCCCCUCAUCCCUCACACCAAGCCUGUCUCCUCCUCUUCCAGGAUUUGCUACUGUCUCUGCUGUUCCCUCCUCCCCACAGGGGCCCUCUCCCCUCUCCCAUCUCAAGAUGGCAGCCAGCAGUUCUGAGGUCUCUGAGAUAAAUGGGUUGCAGGAGAGUCCCAAGAGCCAGGGAGAAGGAGCUGGCCAUUCUCAAGCUGGAGCUGGCUCUCUCCAGGUCCAGGCAGAGGUCCUAGACCAGCCAGGAGCCCUGCCGCCAAGCGCAGUCACCACUGCAGCCCCUGCGGAGUCAGGGCCCAACAGUGGGCUGGCCCCUGAGACCACAGAGACCCCAGCUGGGGCCCCAGAAACAGCCCGGGCCACAGACCUCAGCUUACACUCAGGAGGGGAAUCCAAGGCCAGCUCCGGCCCCGAAGAAGUAUGCCAAGAACCAGCAUCCAAACCAGAGGCAAACAAAGAGGCUCCUGCCAGAGCAGACCCGAGGUCUGAGCAGGAGUCUGCAGCCCUUCCUGAGCCAACCUCCCAGGCAGCUCCCCACCCAGACCCUCAGCCAGCUUCCCAGCCCACCUCCAAAUCAGUGCUUCAGUCAGUACCCCCUCCUCAGGAGGACCCCACCCCAGGGGUCCAGACAGACAGUAUAGGGGAAAAGCAGGAGAACGGAGCAGUGGUCCCUCUGCAGGCUGGGGAUGGAGAAGAGGGCCCAGCCCCCCAGCCUCACUCACCACCCUCCACCAAAACACCCCCAGCCAACGGAGCGCCCCCUCGCGUGCUACAGCAGCUGGUUGAGGAGGACCGAAUAGGAAGGGCCCACGGUGGGCAUCCAGGAUCUCCCCGAGGUAGCCUCAGCCGCCACCCCAGCUCACAGUUGGCAGGGUCUGGGGUAGAAGGGGGUGAAGGCACCCAGAAACCUCGGGACUACAUCAUCCUUGCCAUCCUGUCUUGCUUCUGCCCCAUGUGGCCUGUCAACAUCGUGGCCUUCGCUUAUGCCGUCAUGUCCCGGAACAGCCUGCAGCAGGGGGACGUGGAUGGGGCCCAGCGUCUGGGCCGUGUGGCCAAACUCUUAAGCAUCGUGGCGCUGGUAGGGGGGGUCCUCAUCAUCAUUGCCUCCUGCGUCAUCAACUUAGGCGGUGAGUGAAGGUCUGGGACAGGCAAGGGAGGAGUGGAAGGGUUGGUGAGGGCAGCUUUACUAACCCCUGCCCCUGCUCUCUCCUGUCUGUCUUCCCCACUUAUUCCUUUGUCUCUCCUUGUCUCCCCUUCUUCCUCGUCUGUCUGUCUUCUGUCUGUCCUA